AGUGAACGCUGGCGGUAGGCCUAACACAUGCAAGUCGAACGGCAGCACAGUAAGAGCUUGCUCUUACGGGUGGCGAGUGGCGGACGGGUGAGGAAUACAUCGGAAUCUACUUUUUCGUGGGGGAUAACGUAGGGAAACUUACGCUAAUACCGCAUACGACCUACGGGUGAAAGCAGGGGAUCUUCGGACCUUGCGCGAUUGAAUGAGCCGAUGUCGGAUUAGCUAGUUGGCGGGGUAAAGGCCCACCAAGGCGACGAUCCGUAGCUGGUCUGAGAGGACGAUCAGCCACACUGGAACUGAGACACGGUCCAGACUCCUACGGGAGGCAGCAGUGGGGAAUAUUGGACAAUGGGCGCAAGCCUGAUCCAGCCAUACCGCGUGGGUGAAGAAGGCCUUCGGGUUGUAAAGCCCUUUUGUUGGGAAAGAAAAGCAGCAGGUUAAUACCCCGCUGUUCUGACAGUACCCAAAGAAUAAGCACCGGCUAACUUCGUG
RNAcentral lists this ribosomal RNA (492 nucleotides) under uncultured bacterium. RNAcentral's name for it is "partial 16S ribosomal RNA". It matches the Rfam family "Bacterial small subunit ribosomal RNA", at positions 29 to 507 of the family's 1533-position model. The record is from RNAcentral.